CCUACGGGAGGCAGCAGUGGGGAAUAUUGCGCAAUGGAGGAAACUCUGACGCAGUGACGCCGCGUGACAGGAAGAAGGUUUUCGGAUUGUAAACUGCUUUAGACAGGGAAGAAAAAGGACAGUACCUGUAGAAUAAGCUCCGGCUAACUACGUGCCAGCAGCCGCGGUAAU
This 171-nucleotide ribosomal RNA is filed under the name uncultured bacterium. Its description in RNAcentral is "partial 16S ribosomal RNA". It matches the Rfam family "Bacterial small subunit ribosomal RNA", at positions 338 to 524 of the family's 1533-position model. The record is from RNAcentral.